UGGGGAAUUUUGGACAAUGGGCGAAAGCCUGAUCCAGCAAUGCCGCGUGUGUGAAUAAGGCCUUCGGGUUGUAAAGCACUUUUGUCCGGAAAGAAAUGGCUCUGGUUAAUACCUGGGGUCGAUGACGGUACCGGAAGAAUAAGGACCGGCUAACUACGUGCCAGCAGCCGCGGUAAUACGUAGGGUCCAAGCGUUAAUCGGAAUUACUGGGCGUAAAGCGUGCGCAGGCGGUUGUGCAAGACCGAUGUGAAAUCCCCGAGCUUAACUUGGGAAUUGCAUUGGUGACUGCACGGCUAGAGUGUGUCAGAGGGGGGUAGAAUUCCACUUGUAGCAGUGAAAUGCGUAGAGAUGUGGAGGAAUACCGAUGGCGAAGGCAGCCCCCUGGGAUAACACUGACGCUCAUGCACGAAAGCGUGGGGAGCAAACAGG
RNAcentral lists this ribosomal RNA (429 nucleotides) under Bacillota bacterium. RNAcentral describes it as "Firmicutes bacterium partial 16S ribosomal RNA". It matches the Rfam family "Bacterial small subunit ribosomal RNA", at positions 355 to 776 of the family's 1533-position model. Lineage: Bacteria; Bacillati; Bacillota. The record is from RNAcentral.